RNAcentral lists this unclassified non-coding RNA (885 nucleotides) under Exaiptasia diaphana. RNAcentral's name for it is "d-aminoacyl-tRNA deacylase 2, transcript variant X3". The record is from RNAcentral. Lineage: Eukaryota; Metazoa; Cnidaria; Anthozoa; Actiniaria; Aiptasiidae.
AAGAUUGCAAAUGAGAUUUCCGGACUUCCUGUCUAAUGUAUAGUAGGGAAUGGCAUCGUUCACUUCUUCUGAUAAUGGGCAGUCCAUCCGGAUUAUUAUUCAGCAAUGUUUAAAUGCUAGUCUACAGUUACAAUCAUUGAUGGACGAACGAGAGGAAAAACGAUAUGUGCGGAUCAACCGUGGUAUUGUUGUACUAUUAUGUUUCCUGAAAGGUGCUUCUUUGGACAUGAUACCUAAAGCAGUAAAAGCAGUGCUAAACAUCAAGCUUAGUGAGUUGCCUGACGGGAGUAAAGUAUCAGUAUUGGACCUACCUGGUGAUGUCCUUAUUGUUCCUCAGGCAACACUGGGAGGAAAGAUGAAAGGGAAAAGCAUGCAGUACCAUUCCAACAUUGCCAAACAUGAGGCUCUGCCUCUUUAUGAAGAGUUCACCAAACUAUGCCAGGAGAUGGUUCUUUCUGAUUCAAAGAUCACAUCAGGACAUACAACCAGUCCACAAGUAAAAUGGGGAACAUACGGUAGUCGCCAAGUGCUGUCCGUAAAUACCAAUGGCCCUUACACGCAUGUCAUGGAUUUCUAAAUAGAAGGGUUUACACAGAAUUAAGAAAGACUUUUAAGAAACGUACGUUAAAUCCCGUACUCCGUGGUUGACAAAGAGAGCAGUGGUCCUAAUAUGUAUGUCAUGGAGUAAAAGAGGAGACUGGAAGGUACGGGAUACGCAAUCGUAACGAGUUCCUAACUGUAAAGAGCCAUGGCCCCUAACACACAUGUCAUGGACUUUUAAAUGGUUGCCAAUGAUGUGAGACUAUGACUGCAUCUGCUGAAUAUAUAUACCACCUAAACUCAUGAAAAUAGAAAUAAUUCUUUUGAAGAGUAAAUUUUAACAGU